UGCCUUUCAAUGGCCGAAAAUCACCACUAUAUAAGUCUUGUUCUUCGGAACUAUGGCGAUAAACGCGCACGUAAUAAGCGGUUUGGACCCGGGGGCGGUACCCGGCGGCUCCACCAAUAACUCUGCUCAUUAGGCAGAAGGUGAGGGGCCGAAAUAGGAUCGACAGACGUGUAAAGGUGAUGCCUUCGCCCGGAUGAGCUCCGUUAGAAGCUCAACUUGCAAAUAGUUGCUAAUGACAACUUUGCUGAAGGUGAACUCCUCGCAGCGUAAUGCUGUGCGGAAACUAACCGCUUAAACUCCUGGAUGGUUUAGCUCGUCCAGGCGGGGCCCGGAGGCGCCUGGCAACAGAAGCCUCCACU
RNAcentral lists this transfer-messenger RNA (359 nucleotides) under Ponticaulis sp. It matches the Rfam family "Alphaproteobacteria transfer-messenger RNA". From Rfam's summary of the family: Bacterial tmRNA, also known as 10Sa RNA or SsrA, is named for its dual tRNA and mRNA-like properties. Its role is to liberate the mRNA from a stalled ribosome. To accomplish this part of the tmRNA is used as a reading frame that ends in a translation stop signal. Lineage: Bacteria; Pseudomonadati; Pseudomonadota; Alphaproteobacteria; Hyphomonadales; Hyphomonadaceae. The record is from RNAcentral.